GAUGAACGCUGGCGGCGUGCCUAAUACAUGCAAGUCGAGCGAACAGACGAGGAGCUUGCUCCUCUGACGUUAGCGGCGGACGGGUGAGUAACACGUGGAUAACCUACCUAUAAGACUGGGAUAACUUCGGGAAACCGGAGCUAAUACCGGAUAAUAUAUUGAACCGCAUGGUUCAAUAGUGAAAGACGGUUUUGCUGUCACUUAUAGAUGGAUCCGCGCCGCAUUAGCUAGUUGGUAAGGUAACGGCUUACCAAGGCGACGAUGCGUAGCCGACCUGAGAGGGUGAUCGGCCACACUGGAACUGAGACACGGUCCAGACUCCUACGGGAGGCAGCAGUAGGGAAUCUUCCGCAAUGGGCGAAAGCCGGACGGAGCAACGCCGCGUGAGUGAUGAAGGUCUUCGGAUCGUAAAACUCUGUUAUUAGGGAAGAACAAAUGUGUAAGUAACUAUGCACGUCUUGACGGUACCUAAUCAGAAAGCCACGGCUAACUAUGUG
This 497-nucleotide ribosomal RNA is filed under the name uncultured bacterium. RNAcentral's name for it is "partial 16S ribosomal RNA". It matches the Rfam family "Bacterial small subunit ribosomal RNA", at positions 28 to 507 of the family's 1533-position model. The record is from RNAcentral.